RNAcentral lists this ribosomal RNA (481 nucleotides) under Blastocystis sp. PR-5. RNAcentral describes it as "SSU rRNA". It matches the Rfam family "Eukaryotic small subunit ribosomal RNA", at positions 459 to 951 of the family's 1831-position model. The record is from RNAcentral. Lineage: Eukaryota; Bigyra; Opalinata; Blastocystidae.
GGGAGGUAGUGACAAUAAAUCACAAUGCGGAACUAUUAGUUUUGCAAUUGGAUUGAGAACAAUGUACAAAUGUUAUCGAUAAACAAUUGGAGGGCAAGUCUGGUGCCAGCAGCCGCGGUAAUUCCAGCUCCAAUAGCGUAUAUUAACGUUGUUGCAGUUAAAAAGCUCGUAGUUGAAUUGAAGUGAACUUGGGUUUGUAUGAUCUUCGGAUGAUAUGAAUCAGAGUUGACUCUUUCCAAAGUCAAUACAUUGGUAUUCAUUUAUCUUUGUAUUGUGUUUGGUCAUUUACUGUGAGAAAAUUAGAGUGUUCAAAGCAGACGUUUGUUUGAAUACAUUAGCAUGGAAUAAUCAUAUAUGGCUUUCAUGUUGAUUUGAUUGGUUUGAAUAUGGAAGCAAGAUUAAAAGGGACAGUUGGGGGUAUUCAUAUUCAAUAGUCAGAGGUGAAAUUCUGGGAUUUAUGGAAGAUGAACAAGUGCGAAAG